Molecule: ribosomal RNA, 253 nt
Filed under: uncultured bacterium
Lineage: Bacteria
Description: partial 16S ribosomal RNA
Rfam family: Bacterial small subunit ribosomal RNA
Source: RNAcentral
UACGGGGGGAGCAAGCGUUGUUCGGAUUCAUUGGGCGUAAAGGGCGCGUAGGUGGCUUGGUUAGUCCGACGUGAAAUGUACCGGUUCAACCGGGGCACUGUGGCGGAAACUGCCGAGCUUGAGGCCGAGGGAGGAAGGUGGAAUUCCUGGUGUAGCGGUGAAAUGCGCAGAUAUCAGGAGGAACACCGGUGGCGAAGGCGGGUCUCUGGGCCGAUACUGACGCUGAGGAGCGAAGGCGUGGGGAGCGAACAGG